This 2023-nucleotide long non-coding RNA is filed under the name Podarcis muralis (Common wall lizard). RNAcentral describes it as "lncRNA (ENSPMRG00000014056.1)". The record is from RNAcentral. Lineage: Eukaryota; Metazoa; Chordata; Lepidosauria; Squamata; Lacertidae.
GGAUCAUCUAGUCCAACCCCCAGCAAUGUCCCCUUUUGUGAUUGGGUCGGAGAGCCCUCAGUGGACAUAUAUUGUUCCUGGUCCCAGAAAACCUUACUGGCACCCUCGGGUGUCACUUGGCUUGAGCUCCCAGUUUCAAACUUAGGUCCCUCCCUUUCUGCUUUGCAAACAGGCCGUUCCAUUCCUCCGGUGGAGCUGUCGUCCUUCAUCAAUCAGCCAGAAGGAAAUAUUGAGGACCAGAAACUUGGCGGGGCUGGUGGGGAGGACAGAGCCAGCGAGGGUGAAUCCGAGCUGGACGGACCCUGGGACCUGGAGGACCUGAGUGAGGAGGGAGAGAGGUGCCUGACCCCAGCUAGCAACCGGGACGGUAAGAGUGGGAAGAGGAAUGGAGUGUUGGAAUCACAGAUUAUGGACUUGGGAAGGGCUCCCCAUGGUCAUCUAGUCCAACCCGCUUACAAUGCAGGAAUCGCAGCUGAGGAACCCCUGACAGUUGGCCCGACCUCAUGUUUAAAAACCUCCAGUGGAAGAGAGUCAACUGCCUUCUGAGGGAGUCCGUUCCACCAUCAAACGCCCUUUUACCCUCAGUUUUUCUAUAUGUUUAGUUGGGAUUUCCUUUCUUGUAACUUGAAGCCAUGAGUUCGAGUCCUACCCUCCAUUGUGGUAGAAAAAAUGCUUGCUCCAUCUUCCAUGUGACUUUAGAUAUAUGAAGAUGGCUCUCAUAUCUCUGCUUUUCCAGGCUAAACAUACCCAGCUCCUUCAACCAUUCCUCAUAUGGCUCGGUUGCAAUAAUAAUAAUAAUAAUAAUAAUAAUAAUAAUAAUAAUAAUUUAUUAUUUAUACCCCAUGCAUCUGGCUGGGUUUUCCCAGCCACUCUGGGUGGCUUGAUCAUCUUGGUUGCACACGCUCCAGCUUGUCAACAUCCUUCUUAAACUGGGGUGCCCAGAACGGGUUAUAUUAGUGUUGCAGCCAGCUCGUGUGAGUGAGCCAAGCUGCAUGGGGAGAUGAUCCCUAUCUCGGCCGGCUUGGUGGAAAAUCCCCUUUUCGCCCCCAUAAAUGGAGCUCGAUUGUAAAGCAGCUCUCGUUUUCAGAUCCAGCGUCAAAAUUUGCUGCUAGCCGGUCACAGCUGUGUGUACCUGAUUGAAGAGGACUUCAUCUUCCCUGUCCGUGGAAAUAAAAGGCGGAUAUUUUUCUCUCUCUGCUUCCCAAACAGGUGAGCAUCCCAGCAGCCUCCACCUUUGCGCUCUCAUGAAGCUGGUGGAGGAAAUCCCAGAGUUUCUCUACGGACACACGAAGGCUGCCGGAGACCUCGCCCCAGACGCCGUGGAAGCUGAGGUUCCUGCCAAGGAGGCGCCAACCAGCAGCGGUGAGCGAAUUCACGGAUUCCUAGAACGGUAGAGUUGCAAAGGACCACCAGAGGUCAUCUAGCCCAACUCCCUGCAAUGCAGGAAUCUCAGCUCAAGCUUCCAUGGCAGAUGGCCAUCCAACCUCUGCUAAAAAGCCUCCAAGGAAGGAGAGUUCGCCACCUUCCCAAGCAGUCUAUUCCACCAUCUAACUGACAGAAAGUUCUUCCUGGUGUUUAGUUGCAACUUUCUUUCCUUCUUUUUAAAUUUUUUUAUUUUCAAUGCAAAAUUGCAACAAAAAUACAAAAAUUGAAUCCAAAAUAACACAGUACAAACAAGAGGGGGGGGGGACACAAGCGGGAAAAAACACACACACACACAAAAACGACAAAACACACAUCUACAAAUAAAACCAUAUCAUUGUUCUAAUCAUUAUUACAUAUACACAUAUUGAUUUCCUUCCUUUGUUCUAAGACCCUCGAAAUUUUUACUCUUUCUAAAUUGUUGUGUCUAAUGUAGAUUACCUCUAUCUUUAUACUUUUUGCACCAUUUUUCUCUUUCUUUAACCCUGCAAAGCUUCAUUUGUUACAUACACAUAGUAUAGUUGCAACUUUCUUGUAACUUGAAGCCAUGGGUUCGAGUUCUGCCCUCCAGAGGAAAACAAGCUUGCUUCCUCCUCGAGAC